This is a small nuclear RNA of Oryctolagus cuniculus (rabbit), 88 nucleotides long. Its record names the gene U4. It matches the Rfam family "U4 spliceosomal RNA". Rfam says of the family: U4 small nuclear RNA (U4 snRNA) is a component of the major U2-dependent spliceosome. The structure of U4 snRNA from yeast and human has been reported. Lineage: Eukaryota; Metazoa; Chordata; Mammalia; Lagomorpha; Leporidae. The record is from Ensembl.
AGCUUUACGCAGUGGCAGUAUCGUAGCCAGUGAGGUUUAUCCGAGGCGUGAUUAUUGCUAAUUAAAAGAAAAAGGCCACGAAAUUAAG